CCUACGGGAGGCAGCAGUGGGGAAUAUUGCACAAUGGGGGAAACCCUGAUGCAGCGACGCCGCGUGAGUGAAGAAGUAAUUCGUUAUGGAAAGCUCUAUCAGCAGGGAAGAAAAUGACGGUACCUGAGUAAUAAGCGCCGGCUAAAUACGUGCCAGCAGCCGCGGUAAGACGUAGGGGGCAAGCGUUAUCCGGAUUUACUGGGUGUAAAGGGAGCGUAGACGGCAGUGCAAGGCUGGAGUGAAAGUCGGGGGCCUAACCCCCGGCCUGCUCUGGAAACUGUACGGCUGGAGUGCAGGAGAGGUAAGUGGAAUUCCUAGUGUAGCGGUGAAAUGCGUAGAUAUCAGGAGGAACCCCAGUUGCGAAGGCGGCUUACUGGACUGUAACUGACGUUGAGGCUCGAAAGCGUGGGGAGCAAACAGGAUUAGAUACCCUUGUAGUC
This 440-nucleotide ribosomal RNA is filed under the name uncultured bacterium. Its description in RNAcentral is "partial 16S ribosomal RNA". It matches the Rfam family "Bacterial small subunit ribosomal RNA", at positions 338 to 795 of the family's 1533-position model. The record is from RNAcentral.